AUACGAACCGUACGAACGUUAUUCGGAAUUACUGGGCUUAAAGGGUGCGUAGGCGGCACGACAGGUGGGAUGUGAAAUCCCCCGGCUUAACCGGGGAACUGCGUUCCAAACCGUCGCGCUUGAGAGAGACAGAGGUGAGCGGAACUUGCAGUGGAGCGGUGAAAUGCGUUGAUAUUGCAAGGAACACCAGUGGCGAAGGCGGCUCACUGGGUCUCUUCUGACGCUGAGGCACGAAAGCUAGGGGAGCGAACGGGAUUAGAAACCCCGGUAGUCC
RNAcentral lists this ribosomal RNA (274 nucleotides) under uncultured bacterium. RNAcentral's name for it is "partial 16S ribosomal RNA". It matches the Rfam family "Bacterial small subunit ribosomal RNA", at positions 523 to 796 of the family's 1533-position model. The record is from RNAcentral.